This 301-nucleotide ribosomal RNA is filed under the name uncultured bacterium. RNAcentral's name for it is "partial 16S ribosomal RNA". It matches the Rfam family "Bacterial small subunit ribosomal RNA", at positions 509 to 807 of the family's 1533-position model. The record is from RNAcentral.
CAGUAGCCGCGGGAAUACAGAGGGUGCGAGCGUUAAUCGGAUUUACUGGGCGUAAAGCGUGCGUAGGCGGCUUUUUAAGUCGGAUGUGAAAUCCCUGAGCUUAACUUAGGAAUUGCAUUCGAUACUGGGAAGCUAGAGUAUGGGAGAGGAUGGUAGAAUUUUAGGUGUAGCGGUGAAAUGCGUAGAGAUCUGGAGGAAUACCGAUGGCGAAGGCAGCCAUCUGGCCUAAUACUGACGCUGAGGUACGAAAGCAUGGGGAGCAAACAGGAUUAGAUACCCCCGUAGUCCCUGUCUCUUAUAC